UCGGGAAUUUUGGGCAAUGGGCGAAAGCCUGACCCAGCAACGCCGCGUGAAGGAUGAAAUCCCUCGGGAUGUAAACUUCGCAAGAACAGGAAGAAUAAGUAGGGGACAAUACCCCCUAUGAUGACGGUACCGUUUGUAAGCUCCGGCUAACUCCGUGCCAGCAGCCGCGGUAAUACGGGGGGAGCAAGCGUUGUUCGGAUUUACUGGGCGUAAAGGGCGCGUAGGCGGUCAGCACAAGUCAGUUGUGAAAUCUCCGAGCUUAACUCGGAAAGGUCAACUGAUACUGUGCGACUAGAGUGCAGAAGGGGCAACUGGAAUUCUCGGUGUAGCGGUGAAAUGCGUAGAUAUCGAGAGGAACACCUGCGGCGAAGGCGGGUUGCUGGGCUGACACUGACGCUGAGGCGCGAAAGCUAGGGGAGCGAACGGG
RNAcentral lists this ribosomal RNA (427 nucleotides) under Bacillota bacterium. RNAcentral describes it as "Firmicutes bacterium partial 16S ribosomal RNA". It matches the Rfam family "Bacterial small subunit ribosomal RNA", at positions 355 to 776 of the family's 1533-position model. The record is from RNAcentral. Lineage: Bacteria; Bacillati; Bacillota.